This 497-nucleotide ribosomal RNA is filed under the name uncultured bacterium. RNAcentral describes it as "partial 16S ribosomal RNA". It matches the Rfam family "Bacterial small subunit ribosomal RNA", at positions 28 to 507 of the family's 1533-position model. The record is from RNAcentral.
GAUGAACGCUGGCGGCGUGCCUAAUACAUGCAAGUCGAGCGAACAGAUGAGGAGCUUGCUCCUCUGACGUUAGCGGCGGACGGGUGAGUAACACGUGGAUAACCUACCUAUAAGACUGGGAUAACUUCGGGAAACCGGAGCUAAUACCGGAUAAUAUAUUGAACCGCAUGGUUCAAUAGUGAAAGACGGUUUUGCUGUCACUUAUAGAUGGAUCCGCGCCGCAUUAGCUAGUUGGUAAGGUAACGGCUUACCAAGGCAACGAUGCGUAGCCGACCUGAGAGGGUGAUCGGCCACACUGGAACUGAGACACGGUCCAGACUCCUACGGGAGGCAGCAGUAGGGAAUCUUCCGCAAUGGGCGAAAGCCUGACGGAGCAACGCCGCGUGAGUGAUGAAGGUCUUCGGAUCGUAAAACUCUGUUAUUUGGGAAGAACAAAUGUGUAAGUAACUAUGCACGUCUUGACGGUACCUAAUCAGAAAGCCACGGCUAACUACGUG